Pistacia vera is the source of this 241-nucleotide long non-coding RNA. RefSeq lists it as uncharacterized. The record is from RefSeq and is a predicted model, not a curated record. NCBI's taxonomy places the organism in Eukaryota, Viridiplantae, Streptophyta, Magnoliopsida, Sapindales, Anacardiaceae. The transcript has 3 exons.
GGUUUUAUCCUUAUCAUUAUGCACCGCGUGCUUCAGAUUUUUAUGAUAUUGAUAAAUUUGAAUUUCACUUCUCAAUUGGGAAACCCUUCAAGCCGUUUGAUCAACUAAUGGGUGUAUUGCCUGCUGCAAGUGCACAUGCGCUUCCAUUGUUUUAUAGGAAAUUGAUGACAGAUGCGUUGUCACCGAUAUUGGAUUUUUAUCCCGCUGAUUUUCAGGUUGAUAUUAAUGGAAAACGGUUUGC